AGAGUUUGCUUCUGGCUCAGGAUGAACGCUGGCGGCGUGCUUAACACAUGCAAGUCGAACGGGGGCGUGAUGUGCGAGAGGGUUAGUUUACUAGACUUCAAACUUUUCACGCCCUAGUGGCGGACGGGUGAGUAACGCGUGGGUAACCUGCCAUAUACAGGGGGAUAACACUUAGAAAUAGGUGCUAAUACCGCAUAAGCGCACAGGGGCGCAUGCCCCGGUGUGAAAAACUCCGGUGGUAUAUGAUGGACCCGCGUCUGAUUAGCCAGUUGGCAGGGUAACGGCCUACCAAAGCGACGAUCAGUAGCCGGCCUGAGAGGGCGGACGGCCACAUUGGGACUGAGACACGGCCCAAACUCCUACGGGAGGCAGCAGUGGGGGAUAUUGCACAAUGGGGGAAACCCUGAUGCAGCGACGCCGCGUGAGUGAAGAAGUAUUUCGGUAUGUAAAGCUCUAUCAGCAGGGAAGAAAAUGACAGUACCUGACCAAGAAGCCCCGGCUAACUACGUGCCAGCAGCCGCGGUAAUACGUAGGGGGCAAGCGUUAUCCGGAUUUACUGGGUGUAAAGGGAGCGUAGACGGUUAUGUAAGUCUGGAGUGAAAGCCCGGGGCCCAACCCCGGGACUGCUUUGGAAACUGCGUAACUGGAGUACAGGAGGGGCAGGCGGAAUUCCUGGUGUAGCGGUGAAAUGCGUAGAUAUCAGGAGGAACACCGGCGGCGAAGGCGGCCUGCUGGACUGAAACUGACGUUGAGGCUCGAAAGCGUGGGGAGCAAACAGGAUUAGAUACCCUGGUAGUCCACGCCGUAAACGAU
Molecule: ribosomal RNA, 813 nt
Filed under: uncultured bacterium
Lineage: Bacteria
Description: bacterial SSU rRNA
Rfam family: Bacterial small subunit ribosomal RNA
Source: RNAcentral